UGCGGGGGGGGCAAGCGUUGUUCGGAAUUACUGGGCGUAAAGGGUUUGUAGGUGGCCAACUAAGUCAGACGUGAAAUCCCUCAGCUUAACUGGGGAACUGCGUCUGAGACUGGAUGGCUUGAGUGCAGGAGAGGAACGCGGAAUUCCAGGUGUAGCGGUGAAAUGCGUAGAUAUCUGGAGGAACACCGGUGGCGAAGGCGGCGUUCUGGACUGCAACUGACACUGAAAAACGAAAGCCAGGGGAGCAAACGGG
RNAcentral lists this ribosomal RNA (253 nucleotides) under uncultured bacterium. Its description in RNAcentral is "partial 16S ribosomal RNA". It matches the Rfam family "Bacterial small subunit ribosomal RNA", at positions 524 to 776 of the family's 1533-position model. The record is from RNAcentral.